Triticum aestivum (bread wheat) is the source of this 2009-nucleotide long non-coding RNA. RefSeq lists it as uncharacterized. Lineage: Eukaryota; Viridiplantae; Streptophyta; Magnoliopsida; Poales; Poaceae. The transcript has 5 exons. The record is from RefSeq and is a predicted model, not a curated record.
UCUCCCUCAAAAAUAUCUCCUCUCUCCCUCCCUCACCCCGAUCCUCUUCUCCGUGCCGUCGCCGCCUCCGCUCCCCCUCCCGCGGCCCUCAUCCCCUCCUGCCGCCGCCUCCUCUACUCACCCCACCAUCGCCACCCCGUCCCUCCUCGUUCCCUCCACCAUCAGGGAAGGACGGAUCCACUCCCUCCCACCCCCUCCUCGCCUGGCAUCGCUCGAUGAAGAAGAUGGACAGCAUCUCGAGGCCUUGAAGGCCAGCGAAGCCUUGCGAGAGCCCUCCCCUGCCUGGCCGCCGCCCCCCCCGGCGUUCAAGGAGGAACUGGGCGACAAUAGGAAGCAUGCAGAGGCGGUGGUGGCCAAGGAAAAGGAGGAUCUUGCGGUCUGAUCCCGCCGCUAGGCGUGGGAUCUUGCGAUUUUGAUGAGAUUUGAGCCAUCCUAGAUGUGAAUUAGUAUUUUGUUUUACUUGGGGCGUGAUCUGCAAUAUGGGAGAGGGUGGCCUCUCCAAGAAAAAAUCGAUUCUUUUGGAGAGGAUGAUCUGCAAUAUUUUGAUCUGACUGCUCUCAUCACUCUUUUCUUCUUUCUGACAAUACAUAUUAAUGGUGCCCGAUCGCUUUGAGACACUUUGUUGUGGUGUUCUUCCAAAUUCCAGCACCACGACUCGGGUCCCGGAGCACCAGAUGGUACAAAAGCACCUUUGUCUUGGUCUUUUUCGCUUUAUUAUUUCUAAGUGUAGGAAUGAGAGUUGACACUGCCUCAUUCAGUUUUGUCUCACGUUCAGUACAUCCACUAAUUAUGAUUCAUGCUUAAUCAUUGCCAUAGCUUUAUGCUAACACUUAAACUAGCCGGUCUCUGGAAAAGUCGUGCUGCUUUGCUAGGUGACAUCUAAAGAACAUAGGCGUGCCACGAUGCCACAUUGCUGCCGUAACAAAAGCAAGCAAACUACCACGAGAUAUCCAGAGAACAUAGGCAUGCAAUGCAAACGCCACAAAUCCAACCUAUUGCAUGCUAAACUCCGAAGCUAAAAGUGAAAGCAAAAGUAGCUACUUUUGGUGGUGCGUACUAGAACUUGAAUAGACAGUAGUAAAUUAACCAAACUGAAUGUAAAAAAGACAGUGGUGGUAGUUACGUCGCGGGUGUGUGCGGAUCGGCACGUGACCAUGUGCGCCAGCAUCGGGAUGGUGUAGACGGUGAAGCUGAUAAGGAGGGAUCCGACGGCGGAGUUGAUGGGCCUGAAGAAGGGGAAGACGAUGGCGAGGAACCAGAUGGGCUCCACGAUGGGGAGGCGCGUGGCGGUGCAGGAUACACAAACUCGAUCUGAAUUCUGAAAGCUUGUAUCAGGAAGUGAGUAUGCAAGAUAGCUUCAGGCAAGGUGUACAGAGGUUGUACAGAGGCUGCAGCUGAAGCUGGACUCUGAAGGUUUCUGUUGGAACAAUCAUUGAGAACGAUGAGAGAGUUUGUGUCACAUGUGCCGCUCACUGAUGAGAAGUAGAUUGAAGUGAAUGGUGCUAGAGAAGGAGCGGCCUGGAAAGUACACCAGUGAUGCCCUGCAAGGUGAGGAGAAGAAAGCUAAGGAGAUGCUCCGUGUAAUCCCUAAGAAGCAAAGAGGGAGCAAAAGAACGGGUCCGCUCCAAGGGACUAUGACAUUGGCACUUUCAACAUCUAGCAGUAGGAGAACCGGCCCCAAUUAGUACAUGGUUCAUAAUUUAUUAAGGUACUUCUAAGCUAUUUCUGCAUGUAGAAGAUUCAUGUGCCUCCAUUUACCACAUGUUCCUUGCUGCCCUAUCAUCUUCAUCUUGUUAUUUGGCUGCUGCUAAGCUGAUUGUGGUGAUUUACUGCCUUCUGAUCUUCUCACUACUCAAUCAAGGUCCUUUCUGAAAAGCUUCAGGACGAUAUGAGCGCUAAAAAGUUCCAGCUUGUUGACGUUGUUGGACUUGGUAAGCUUGAUGAAGCCGAGGUCCAUAAGAAAAAGAAAAAAGUAUGUUUUUAGUCCCUCAAGUUUCCAAAAAGUACAG